GACUCUCGGCAACGGAUAUCUCGGCUCACGCAUCGAUGAAGAACGUAGCAAAAUGCGAUACUUGGUGUGAAUUGCAGAAUCCCGUGAACCAUCGAGUUUUUGAACGCAAGUUGCGCCCGAAGCCAUCUGGUUGAGGGCACGUCUGCCUGGGCGUCACGC
Molecule: ribosomal RNA, 159 nt
Filed under: Helianthus pauciflorus subsp. subrhomboideus
Lineage: Eukaryota; Viridiplantae; Streptophyta; Magnoliopsida; Asterales; Asteraceae
Description: partial 5.8S ribosomal RNA
Rfam family: 5.8S ribosomal RNA
About the family: 5.8S ribosomal RNA (5.8S rRNA) is a component of the large subunit of the eukaryotic ribosome.
Source: RNAcentral